UACGUAGGGGGCAAGCGUUGUCCGGAAUCAUUGGGCGUAAAGCGCGCGUAGGCGGCCCGGUAAGUCCGUUGUGAAAGUCAAAGGCUCAACCUUUGAACGCCGAUGGAUACUGCCGGGCUAGAGUCCGGAAGAGGCGAGUGGAAUUCCUGGUGUAGCGGUGGAAUGCGCAGAUAUCAGGAGGAACACCAAUAGCGAAGGCAGCUCGCUGGGACGUUACUGACACUGAGGCGCGAAAGCGUGGGGAGCGAACAGG
RNAcentral lists this ribosomal RNA (253 nucleotides) under uncultured bacterium. RNAcentral's name for it is "partial 16S ribosomal RNA". It matches the Rfam family "Bacterial small subunit ribosomal RNA", at positions 524 to 776 of the family's 1533-position model. The record is from RNAcentral.